UCCAUCCACAGUAUUUUGUGUUUCAAAACUGGAGGAAAAAUAGCGCGCUCUGCGGCUGACGGAUGUAAACAAUGAAGUCGAGCACUUAAAACAAAUUUUAUCUAUAAAAAUAAAAUUUAGAUUUAAAUAUUUCUCUUAGUCAAUUUUACGCUUUAAAUAAGGAAAGUAAAUUUCAUCAUAUUUGAGUAUUUUUGAUGAUUUAAAACAAAUAAGAACAUUUAAAAAUAUAGUUCUUGAUUUGAUUAUGCUUGGCCAAUAGGACGACGGGAAUGUUUCGCGCGGAAACUCGGAAUUAUCGUCUGACUAGAAAUUUGUUUGCACGAGGGCUUUGUGUCUUUAAUUUUCGUUUGUACGAGGUUCUUUGUGUCUUUAGUUUUCGUUUGCGCGAGGCUAACUAAGUCAGUGAAUCGUUAUGAGGAUAAUAAUUCAACGGGAAAUGUGCAAUGAUCUGAACUGACUGAAUAGAGGGAAAUCGCUAACGAAAACAGACGCCAUUUUUUUGUUGUUGUUCUAACUUGUUUUUGUUUUGGUUUGUUCUAACUUGUUUUUUCUUUUCUUUUCUUUUCUUUGCUUGUUCCUAUUAGCUUGUUAUAUUUGUUUGUGUUUCUCUGUUUUAAUUGUUCGUUUUUUUUUCACUCUUUAUCAACCUUUCCUUGUACUUACGUUUUUUACUUGUCUUUCAUUUGUUUCGUGUUUUUUUGUUGUUAGUUUUGGUUAUUCCAUUGUGUAUAUUAGCUGAUUUAGCUUCCGUUUAUGUUUACACUAGUCACCCCUUGGAGAGAGUAAUUUUCUGUUUAGAAAUUCAUUUUCUUAUGUUUACGAUGUAAUUGCUAUAUAAUAUUUUCUGUUUGUUUUAUGUGUGUCAAUGUAAAGUGCAUGUAUGUAAUACAAGCGUUAUGAUAUAAAAUAAUGAAAUGAUCAAUGUAUUGUAACGCAAUCCAUCGUUACGUGGUAUUUAGGUAUUAAUUAUGAGACAAUAUAAUUGACCUUUGACCUUUGACCUAUGAUCUUAGCUACACCAUUUGAGGAUUCGAGGUCAACAGACUUUUUUCUGCUAUAGUACAUAUAUUGACUAAAUCAAUAUGAAAUUCAUAUAGUGUAUAUCUAUUGACACUAACAAAGAUAUAGAUUCUUUUUAAAGGAUAUUAAUACCAAAUUACUUGAUUAUAAGCAAAGAAAACGAAGUUUUUUUUUCCAUUUACGGGGAGACUCUCCUAUUCAAAAGUGUUGGCUCCAAAAUAUCCAGGAAUGAUGGAUGAAUAUAUGAUUCUGAUGCUAUUUUGUGCUUUGUAUGAUUGAAGGAAUGUGUAUUACUAAAAAACAAUAACAACUUAUGUUCUGUG
RNAcentral lists this long non-coding RNA (1343 nucleotides) under Penaeus japonicus. RNAcentral's name for it is "uncharacterized LOC122251961". The record is from RNAcentral. Lineage: Eukaryota; Metazoa; Arthropoda; Malacostraca; Decapoda; Penaeidae.